RNAcentral lists this long non-coding RNA (564 nucleotides) under Calidris pugnax (ruff). RNAcentral's name for it is "lncRNA (ENSCPUG00000010744.1)". Lineage: Eukaryota; Metazoa; Chordata; Aves; Charadriiformes; Scolopacidae. The record is from RNAcentral.
CUGGGGAGCAGUCAGCUGCGUCCCAGUAGCUGGCUGGGGAGGUGGGACAUGCUGGGGACACGGGAGGGCUUGGGGACAGGUUGGGGACGUGGUGGCACUUGUCCCAGCGCCUGGCACAGGAGGUGACACGGCAGCGGGGACGGGCAGAGGCAGCUGAGGAGGCACUGAGAGGACUGGCCCAGGCGGCUGCCAGGCUGGCCAGGGUGGUGACAGCCCGCGAGGCCGAGGUGACAGCAGCCACCAGCGCCAUGGUCACCCUCAGCGCCCGUCUGCGCCGCGCAGGACAGCGGCUCCGUGUCCUGAGGGGUCACUUCCUGUGAGGACAGGAUGGGGCACCCCCCCAGCAGAGAGGCGUUGGGGUCCCUCGUGAUGCAGCUACAGGCCCUGGGCGCCGCCAUCCUCGGGGACGAUGGGGACAGCAGGGACCCCCCCUGACCCCACUGUGGACCCGGCCAUCCAGGUGAGUCACCCCCCACCGCCCCAGCCAGUGGGAAGGGGACCAGUUUGGCCCAGUUUGGCACUGGUGUGACCCACGUGUCACUUUCCAGGGUAAUAUUUGGCAGG